UCCCUUCCUAGAGUCCAGCGGAUCGGGACCGAUUUCGAAGUUGCUAUAUUUACGGCUGUCCGCAUGCACUUUCUGGAUUGUCAGCACUUUGGCUGCAAUUUCCACUGGUGCCAUGCCGUUCUGAAAAUGAUCCGGGAUCUUCACCUUGCCAACCUCUACAACAACAAGGGACCGAAUACAGUGCGAGACUUUGUGUUUCGCCUGCUAUGCCUUGUACAUCUUCCUGCUGGUAAAAUUCCUAGCGUGUUGGAUGCGUUGAAGAGCUCGGUGCCUAGCGAACUUCCAGCACUCAUGGAAUAUAUGGAGCGGAAUUGGAUUAGUGGCAUAUUCUGGACUCCGGAGAACUGAUCAUGCUUCAACAUCUUAACGUGUACCAAUAACGACUGUGAAGGAAUGCACCACCAAUAGAAGAAGUUGGCAGGCGGAUCUAAUUUAAAAUUCUACAAGAUUACAAUGGUAUUGCGGAAACUGGCCGAAGAAGAAUCCCUUACUAGAACGCUACUCUGCCGUGACAAAAUAAGGGCUCCCCGGAAAAAAAGGGCCCAACUAAGAAUUCCGUACUGUUCCAGCUUUGAGCGCGCUAUCAAGAU
Molecule: long non-coding RNA, 590 nt
Organism: Daphnia carinata
Lineage: Eukaryota; Metazoa; Arthropoda; Branchiopoda; Diplostraca; Daphniidae
Exons: 3
Source: RefSeq, a predicted model, not a curated record